GGGGAUUUAGCUCAGUGGUAGAGCACUUGCCUAGCAAGCGCAAGGCCCGGGGUUCAGUCCCCA
Rattus norvegicus (Norway rat) is the source of this 63-nucleotide non-coding RNA. Lineage: Eukaryota; Metazoa; Chordata; Mammalia; Rodentia; Muridae. The record is from Rfam.